AAAGAUUUGAAGAAAGCAGAUUAAGGUGAGCAAGUUGGAUAGAUGGUGGCUAAUAUCAGUAUAAAGUGAGGUGGUGCUUAUGAAAGUACCGACAAAAUCUUUAGAAAGGAGACGCCUUGUUUGGUUUCAAUUGUAGAAGUGCCGUACUUAAUGUUAGGUUUCGGUACAUUCAUCGUUACCUUGUUAGGUAUAGCAAUCACAA
Molecule: small RNA, 202 nt
Filed under: Staphylococcus saprophyticus subsp. saprophyticus ATCC 15305 = NCTC 7292
Lineage: Bacteria; Bacillati; Bacillota; Bacilli; Caryophanales; Staphylococcaceae
Description: Staphylococcus saprophyticus subsp. saprophyticus ATCC 15305 Listeria sRNA rli28
Rfam family: Listeria sRNA rli28
Source: Rfam by way of RNAcentral